GACGAAGGAUGCAAGCGUUAUCCGGAUUCAUUGGGUUUAAAGGGUGCGUAGGCGGUCCUGUAAGUCAGUGGUGAAAGCUCUCAGCUUAACUGAGAAACUGCCAUUGAUACUGCAAGACUUGAGUACAGAUGAUGUUGGCGGAAUAUGACAUGUAGCGGUGAAAUGCAUAGAUAUGUCAUAGAACACCGAUUGCGAAGGCAGCUGACAAAACUGUAACUGACGCUGAGGCACGAAAGUGUGGGGAUCAAACAGG
RNAcentral lists this ribosomal RNA (253 nucleotides) under uncultured bacterium. Its description in RNAcentral is "partial 16S ribosomal RNA". It matches the Rfam family "Bacterial small subunit ribosomal RNA", at positions 524 to 776 of the family's 1533-position model. RNAcentral also lists the same sequence under 1 other name. The record is from RNAcentral.